Non-coding RNA from Pelobates cultripes (western spadefoot toad), 389 nucleotides. Lineage: Eukaryota; Metazoa; Chordata; Amphibia; Anura; Pelobatidae. The record is from the annotation of a GenBank genome assembly.
UGGCUGGGCUGCAUGAUGGGAGUUGUAGUGACUGUAUGGCUGGGCUGCAUGAUGGGAGUUGUAGUAUUUCCCUAUGAUUGGCAGGGCUGCAUGAUGGGAGUUGUAGUAUAUGCCUGUGAUUGGCAGGGCUGCAUGAUGGGACUUGUAGUAGCUGUGUAUGGCUGGGCUGCAUGAUGGGAGUUGUAGUGACUGUGUAUGGCUGGGCUGCAUGAUGGGAGUUGUAGUAUUUGCCUGUGAUUGACUGGGCUGCAUGAUGGGGGUUGUAGUAUUUGCCUGUGAUUGGCUGGGCUGCAUGAUGGGAGUUGUAUUUGCCUGUGAUUGGCUGGGCUGUAUGAUGGGAGUUGUAGAAGCUGUGUAUGGCUGGGCUGCAUGAUGGGACUUGUAGUGAC